Molecule: unclassified non-coding RNA, 8099 nt
Filed under: Leishmania donovani
Lineage: Eukaryota; Euglenozoa; Kinetoplastea; Trypanosomatida; Trypanosomatidae
Description: gene:LdHU3.03.0870(CDS-product:6-phosphofructo-2-kinase/fructose-26-biphosphatase_putative)
Source: RNAcentral
AGUCUCUGCCGCUCGUUUUCCUGCUCUGUCGGCGUGGCUGAUUCUGUGCCAUUACCGGCUGGUGUCUCCUCCGCCUUUCGACACCCACCACCACCACCACACACGCACACUCCACUGCGACAGCAGCCAGCCUCUGCAUCAACAACACCGUCAGGGUGUGCUUUCACCGGCUGUCACAGCCAUCUGCUCGUCCACUUCUCUUCUCCUCACUUGCUGAUCCGCACGGAGACAGCACUCUGCUUGAGCAGAAGGUGGCGGUGCUGGUGCUCGCGCUCGUGAUCUCUCGUGUGUGUGCUCAUCCUUGUUCUCUUGGCUCCCCCCUCCAUACAUAUACAUAUAUAGGUACGCCCUGUCCCAUCUCUCCUCGCCGCUAGCGCCCCACACCUCUGUCUGUGUGUGUGUGUGUGUGUCUGUGUGUGUCUGUGUGUGUGUGUGUGUGUCUGUGUGUGUGUGUGUGUGUGUGUGUCCCGCCCUGUAAUCGGCAUAGUGCGCCAUCAAGGCCCCACCUGCAUACCCACCUAACGGCCGCUGCGACACGUUCACAUGAGCGAGGCGAGUGCGUCGCCCGCCGCGGACGACCAAGAGGGUGUUACUCAGGGCGACGGCGACGACAGCCACGGUCGCCUACCGCAACCGCAGCAGCAGCAGCCUCACCGACGUGAUGUUUCAUUCCUCAUGUACGGCAGCCAAGCACUGCAGCAGCACAUGCAGAGCCGAGCAGGAGGGGCGUUGACCGUGAGCCCACCAAGCCCCGGAGACGUCGGUCUUGAGUUGCCUGUGCGGCCCCGCCUGUCCCCCUUCAGCACCCCGACAUAUUCCGCGACGACGCGCACCCUGGCAGACCUGCAGGUGUGGCGCUGCGGCGUUAGCGGCAGAGGUAGUGGUCGCACGCGCGGAGCGUUUGGCGCAGCGGACGGCGGCAGCAGAAGUCGCGGAACAGGCUCGCUCGUUUCCGCGGCAUCGGAACUCGCCACGCAUGCGCGGUGCGGCAGCAGUGGCGCGUUGGAGGCAGCGGCGCUCCCCCAGAACCAACCACUGCGCCAUCGCCUAGGCACGCACUCGCGGUACGGCAGCGUCUGUCUCGCCUCGCCGACCUCGCCAUCCACGGCGAAGAGCAGCACGCAGAGGUCGCCAGCCGAGACGGUGCGGUAUGGCAACGCAAGUAUGUCUGGCACCGCGGGUUUUAACGAGCACCUCCCAGCCGAAGCGGCGCAUCGCACACCCGUACACGUCAACGCUAGCCUCACCACCACCACCACAUCGCCGAUCACCGCGGGGGCCGGGAUUGAUAGAAGCAGUCAGCGCGUCUGUAGAAAGCAGCGGAGCAACCCGGUGGGGUUGACGGCAAGUGCACAGGCCUGGCACUGGGGUGCGGCGCCAGUGGCUGCAGUGGCCUUCCAGCAACAGCAGCAGAAGGGUCGCGGCCGUCAGCGCCGCGCCGUCGCCGCUUCGAGCGAGGGGGCGCUCGGCCGCCGGCGUGGCGGCAACGUGCCAGCGCCGCUCUUCUCCAAUGUUCCGACGACCGCGGCAAUGGGCGCGGCGGUGGCGGCCCGGGCGCAUAAAUCAGCGUCGAACCCGAGCACGUCCGUGAGUAGUCCAACGACCAAGGUGCAGCUGCGGCGCACUGCGCCGACGUCUUCCACCUCUGGCCGCACGGCCGUCUUUCCAUCCCCACACGCGACGCCGAUGUCCAGCGGUGGGGGCAGCUUGCCAGACGCUGAGUCUCCUGCAGCGCUGGAGUCCUCACCGGCGCAGCUCCUGAGUGGCAGAGGCAUGCUCACCACUAAUACUCCAACGACGGAGCUGAAGCGAGCUCUCUCGCAUACCAAGGCAGCGCCCAUGUCGCUCGCGAGCAAGGUGUCUGGCGAGGACGCGCAGGCUCCGUCCGAGGCGACCACGGCCGCGACACCAUUCUCCACUUGCGCACCUGCACCAUCAGCAUCAGUGUCGGCAGGUGCCGCGGCCCCUGCCACCUCUUACGAUGCGGCACGCCGCCUUGGUGUGCGGCACACUUUCGCCACGCUGGAUCCUACGGGCACGGUCAGCUUCGGGCCAGCGACCGGCGACAGUGCCGCUGAUGGCGCAGAGGCGGAAGAUGAUAUCGUGGCGGCCGAUGCAGCAGGUCAGCAGCACUUGGUGGCGACGGGCCAGCCACAGCACAGUGACGACAGUCGCGGCGAUCUUCCACGCGUCACGAGUUUUGCAUCGAGGGAGGAAGGCAGCAUAUACAGCCUCGUCGACUCACAUCAGACUUCCGAACACACAUGCGCGCUCCCGGCCUCCGUCACCGACGAGGACAUGGUGGAGGCCGCCGCCGCCGCCGCCGCAGCAGCAGCAGCAACAACAGGCACGGCGAGGGCCUUCAGGACGGAGGCGCGUACGACCCUCUAUCUGCAGGGUGUCGACGAUGCACACAUGCAGAAGGCACCGCAGUCCCUCGACAUUGAUCGCGCGGCGGCCCUCGGUGGCGCCUCUUCGCAGUCCCGUGCGGCAGGCGGCGCCACCGGUGGUGCGGUGGCUUCCGACUCACUGGAGGAAGAGGCUCUCCUGCGACAAGGCUUGGAAACUGGCGGUAGCGCUGGCAUCAGGUCGGUGAAUCGCGCAGCGAUGCUGAAGCGCUCGCUCACUGCCCCGUCGUACCUGAUCGGCAUGAGCUCGGCGACGGCGUUGGGCGGGCUGCUUGGCAACAGCACGGCCACGUCUCCGCUGUGGCCGAAACAGCAACAGCAGCAGGCGAACAAUUCCGGUGUGCUGAGCGCUACCGCCGCUCUGGGCCAGCGCACCACCAGCGUCGCCAGCAACUCUUUCUGGAGCUCAAGCAGCGCCAACAUGAACGCCAUCAGCAACAACAGCAUCGCCGGCAUCGCGGGCGGGGUGUCAGCUAUCAACGUUGGUGCAGGAAGCUUGGGCACCUUCGUCAACUCCUCUACCCUCUUCUCUGGCAGCUCCACGGUAGCCGGCGCCUCCACGCUGCGCGAUCCCUUCGCCGCGUCCGUCGUCAUGCAGCAGAACAGGUCCGCGCUGAUCGCUGAGCUCAAGCGGCGGCGACAUCGGCUGCACAAGCAGCUGGAACUGUUGCAGAAGGAGGCGACGGCGCGCAACAUCUUCGCCCUCGUCCGCGCCAGCAACGCCUCGCAACUGCAGUACCUCCUGCAGGAGGGACUGUGCAAUGUAAACGACCGCGACUACAACGGCUGCACCCCGCUGCACGUGGCGGCCGGAGAGGGCAAUCAAGCCAUUGUGCGCGUGCUCCUCUCCUUCGGUGCCAAUGUCGUGGCUGUCGACAACAACGGCCGCACGCCACUCGACUGCGCCGCGGCGAACCGGCACAGCGGCGUCGCCCGCUAUCUGCUCACUGUAAUCCGCAGCAAGCACCUCAUCCAGGACGGCGGUGACGGUGCUGUCACCGGCAGCGGAGGUGACGAUAGCUCACCUGCGACCGUGCGAAGCGCAAAACGGGCCGCAGAUGAGGGCUCUGCUGACAUGAGCGCGUACCCGAGCUCGUCUACCUCGCCCAUCGGCCACUCCUCGGCGCAACGGCGCAACUUGGACAGUGCCGGAGGCGUCCUGCCUCUCGGCAACUCGCCGGCAGGCUCCCUCACGCUGUGCGCCGGCACCGCUACACAGAUAGACACCUCCGUGCAGUACCAAUCUGCAUCGUCGGGGUCGUCGCUCAUACAGUCGCCGGGGCUGCCCCCACCUCCCUCCCGGCAACCGCAGCAGCAGCGGCACCCAGUCUCGUUGUCCUCGGCUGCCUCCACACCGUCGCCCUCCAGGCCCUCAAACUUGAACCGGUAUCCUGCCAAGGCCACCGCCUCCGUCACCACUAUGGACGCGGAGAGCUGGAGCGACAGCGAUGUGCCGCCGCACGCGGUGGGGUGGGGCAUCCACUCUGCCCCUGCAGAAGCGGCCGCCGCCCGCUCGGCGCCGAGCCAAGCAUCUGUGGCUGCCGACACGACGGCCGCCAGCGACGCGCCCCCCGCUGCGACACCGAAGCCGCCGGCUUGGCUGACCAUGUACGACACCAGAGUCCCUGCGUCGCGAUCGUUGCCGCAGCGCCUCGCGUCACAGCAAGAAGCAAGGGUGAUGGCGAAUUCAGCGGGUGCCUACAGCACUCUGACGACACACGAGCGCUUGGCGUCCAUGUCGACCCCGCGAUGGCGGCACAACAACAUUCCCCACGGCAGCUCCCCGCAGAGGCCUGUGUUCCUGUCUUCGCUAGACUCGACAGCAGCCGCGCACUCUCGCGGUCUCAUCGCGGCGGAGUCAAACGCAGGCGCCGCCACAACGGCGCCCUCCUCGCCGCCCUUCAGCAGCAGCCGCAGUCACGAGAGCACGGCGCCGCUGCCCAUCACGCUCGGCAUAAACGGCCCCGCCACCAGUUUUGGUAGCGGUAGCGCCAGUGUGGGCGGACAUCUCCUCGAGCGGCACGUCAUGUCGGCGCCGACGUACCUGGCGGAUGCGAUGGACGAGUGCAGCGGCGAAGGCACGGGCCAGGCGGCGAUGCAGCAACCGCCAUCACGCACGCACUCUAGCACGUCCCUCAUCACGACUACCGCCGCCACUGCCGCGGGUGCGAUGGCUGGCUGGCACGACAGUGAUGAGCCGCUCGCGGACACCAAUGCCGAGGGCAUCUUAGAUGCCUUCCUUGGCCGGCGCGGUUACUGCAGCACGCAUCGCCGUCGCAUGCAGAGCGAGAGCGGCAGAAGCCCCCAUGGCGCCUUUGCUUCCGCGUCGUCGGACUGGUUGCGGAGUGGCAGUCCACCCAUACUCUCCGCGGGGGAAGACAAGCAGCAACGCAGCCGUAACGACUACAACUUCAACGCGACAGGAAGCUUUCCUGGCGAGGUGCCCAGCAAACUCUGUCCUCCGCCAGCGCCGACGGCGGCGACCGGCGCGGCGACAACGGCAGUUGCCACCCCAGCAACUUCGGCAGCAGCGUCCGGCGGUGGUGCGCAGCAGCGGCACAUGCUCCUGCGUCCGCCGCGGCGUCCAGACAGCCGCUCCCCAGCGGCCGAGCGGGGAGGCGCCACAACGACUGCGGAUGCGGUCGCCUGCCCCAUGCGCAUCCUGCACCCCUUGCAACUUCUUGGCGUUGACUCGCACGAGGAGUUGAGUGGCUAUCACGGCGGCGCCGCCACGUCGAUGACCUCAUCGACGACCGCGGCGACGGCCGCCUCCGGUGGCGGCUCGCCGCGUGGCGCCGGCGCGGCGAGCAGCAGCCUUUGCGACAUGGGCCAGCAGUCGUUUGAAGAGCACCACCACCACUACCGCCUGACCGCGUUCGGCGUGCUGGGCAACCAGCAGCAGCUGAGAGGCAAGUACUCCUGUGACGGGCACUCGACGCCGCCGCCGCUGCUUCAAGCGCCGCGUGCCGUAUGCGACCCAGCCAAGAUAGAGGCCGCUGUGGCUGAGCCUGCCUCACCAAGCGGCGGCGGCGGCGGCGAUGGCGGCAACAGCAGCAGCGCCAUCACGAAGAAUGGUAACAGCGAUGUAACGUCAUUCUUCUCUGUCCCCGUCGUAGCGGCCCCGUCUUCGUCGAGCAACGCCACUGCCGUCCCUGCCGAGACUGCCAAAGUCCUGGUAGCAGCAUCAGCGGCGGCACCGGCGGCGGCGCCGACGGCCGGUAGCCACACAGCCGAGGAGCAACCCUUCCUGCAGGAGAUGCACCACGAGCUGGUGGAGCUGGCCGCGCUGCACCACUCGAGCUACACCACGAUCAGCGACACGGUCUCGGUCAUUGUGUGCAUGGUGGGGCUGCCAGGGCGAGGCAAGAGUUUCAUCAGCAAGCGGCUCGUGCGCUACAUGAACUGGAAAGGUGUGCCGUGCAAGGUGUUCAACGCCGGCAACUACCGGCGGCAGCUGCUCGGGGUCGAGGCCACCGCUGGCGCGGACUUCUUCAAUCCGGACAACCCGCAAGGAGCGCAGCUGCGGGAGCGCAUGGCGGAGCUGGCCUGCGAGGAUCUCGUCAACUUCAUUGCCUCCCACUCGCUCGCCGUCGGUAUCCUCGACGCAACGAACACGACGCGCAAGCGACGGGCGUGGCUGUCGGACUACUUCCAGAAAGAGGCACAGCGGCAUGCGGUGCCGUACCGGCUUCUCUUCAUCGAAUCCGUGUGCACCGACGACACCAUCGUCACGGAAAACAUCUUGCGCAGCAAGUGCGGCAACGAUGACUUCAGGAACCUCAAGGAUGUCAGCGCCGUCAUCUCCGAGUUCCGCAACCGCAUCUUGCAGUACGAGAAGGUUUACGAAACGCUAGAACCCGAGGAACGGAUGCCGUACAUUAAGAUCGUCAACGUCAAGCACCACGUCAUACUGCACCGCGUGCCGAACGGAUUGGGCAGUCGCAUCGCUUUCUUCCUCCUAAAUCUUCACCCCAUCGCCUUCCCGAUUUACGUGGCACUGCCCGGCGAGACCGUCGGUGACAGCAAGCACGUCUACGGUGGUGACGAGCGGCUGACGGCCCAAGGCGAGGCCUACGCACUGGCGCUGAAGCACUUCAUUCAAGAUCGAUACGUUCCGCACAUGGUGGUGCUGCACGCCACCAACUACUGCGUGCUGAGCACGCUGGCACCGCUGAUGGAGGGCGCUACGCAGGAAGAAGACGCCUCUGCGCUGCAGGUAUCCAGCAGCGCGAACCAGCACAGCGCGCCGGCGGGGCAGCAAUGUGCGGCGAAGGCGACCCUCGCGCCAGCCGAUGCGGUCGCGACUACCGGCAGUGGACCGUCGACGCCGAACGCAUCGAGCGAGGCGCCGCAGGAUCCGCAGCAGCACGACGGGGGCGUCGCGGAGGAGCAGUCCGUGCACGAGGACAACAGCGACCAGGUAGAUGCAGACGAGGAGGACGUAGGCGAUGAGGUGCUCUGCGCGGUGCCGGGACUCGACAACAUCAACUUCGGGCGCUUCAGCGGCCACACAGCCGCAUGGGUAAAGGAAAAAUACCCUCGGCUGUCUGCGCUCCUGUACGACGUGGACGACGAAGACGUGGUCGGCGACGCAAGGGCCGGCGCAGCAGCAGCAGGGCAGCAGCACCAGUCACGCAAGGGCAGCGGUGAAGCGGACGCGACUGCAUCGUCGGCGCCAGUCGGGAGUGUCACGGCCGCGGAAUGGCUCGCGGCCCCCCUCCCGCCGCGGGUACACUAUGCCACGCAUGAGGAGGCCGUCUCGCACCUGCAGCGCGCCCUGAGCGGUGCUGACCCGCGCCUGUCCUACUGCACCCAGCUACCGAAUGGUGAGAGCUGCCGGCAGGUCAACGUCCGCCUGGAGCCGGCGCUGAUGGCCGUCAUGCGCACGCAGUCCCCCGUGUUCGUCGUCGCGCCGGCCGUGCCAGCACAGGGUAUCCUGUCCUUCUUCAUGGACGUCAUCCCUGAGCUGUCGCCGACCAUCCGUAUCCCGAAAGGGUGCGUGAUCGAGAUCGGCGUCAAGGACGGCAUCACCGUGCACCCGCUGCUGCCGAACGCGCUGCCGGAGAGGAUGACACGCUCCCCGCUAACGGUGCUGCCGGAGAUCCAGGACGCCAUUCGUGAGGUGGCCGCUGCCAGCUCCAUGGAGACGUGCGCAGCGAGAACGUGUGCGAAGGUGAGCGCCCCGACACAGGCUGGCGGUUGCACUGCUGUGGGUGGUGGUGCUGCUGCACUCCUUAGUGCGGUCGCUGCCGGCAGCGAAGCAGGGGGGAGCGUGAAGGGUGAUGCGUGCCCGGUGAACGCGAGCGCCUCUUGAGCGGCCAUGGUGCCGCCUCUCUCUUCUUAGUCCAUGGGGCUGUGAAGGAGUCGAGGCAUCCACGUCUGCGCGAUGCAUUGGUGGCGUCCUGUGCGUUCUUCUCUACCAUCCUCGGCGCACUGCAGGGGCCCUCCCCUGUCUUUUGCACGGCGUGUUGAUGUUCGCUCCAGCGGUAGCGGUGCUGCGCUGAGUCGUCCUCGAUCCCUUCUUUUGCUUCGGCUUGUUGUGCGUGUGUACGUGUGUGUGUGUGUGAAGGGGGGGGUGUUGCUUGCUUAACCUGUGAUCGCAGAAUCGCGUGCCAACCUUCUGCUCUUCUCUUCUCCUGUCCUCCCGCCUUCCAUCGUCUGGACCCCCACUCCCCCUACACCGCCUCUCAG